This 79-nucleotide transfer RNA is filed under the name Sulfuritalea sp. Its description in RNAcentral is "tRNA-Leu". It matches the Rfam family "tRNA", at positions 10 to 71 of the family's 71-position model. Rfam says of the family: Transfer RNA (tRNA) molecules are approximately 80 nucleotides in length. Their secondary structure includes four short double-helical elements and three loops (D, anti-codon, and T loops). Lineage: Bacteria; Pseudomonadati; Pseudomonadota; Betaproteobacteria; Nitrosomonadales; Sterolibacteriaceae. The record is from RNAcentral.
GGCCAAAUGCAAGCGGUGAGUGAAGGGCCUUCGGGCUCAUAACCCGAAGAUCGCAGGUUCAAAUCCUGUCCCUUGGCCG